This is a long non-coding RNA of Asparagus officinalis (garden asparagus), 748 nucleotides long. RefSeq lists it as uncharacterized. Lineage: Eukaryota; Viridiplantae; Streptophyta; Magnoliopsida; Asparagales; Asparagaceae. The record is from RefSeq and is a predicted model, not a curated record. The transcript has 2 exons.
UCGUCCUCCCCCCGCUCUCGACGACAACGCCUCCUCUGGCUCUCUCUCCCCCCAAAUUCCCACCGCCAUCACCACCGCGAAACCCACCCUCGCGAUUACUCCCGCUCUCGACGCCGUGAUCACCUCAGAACUCCUCCCGCCUCCCGCUGUCUACGCCUCUCCCUCCCGCCUCCCGCUGUCUACGCCUCUCCCGCUGUCUACUCCUCCCGCCGUGAUUCCUCCCUCCUCCUCCCGCCUCCCGCUGUCUACGCCUCUCCCUCCCGCCUCCCGCUGUCGACGCCGGCAUCGACGCCAAGAUAAGGUAAAGUCUGAUUAUCUUUUUUUUAAUCUUUCAGGAGUUUGAAGGUGAGUAAAGAUCAUGCUUGUGAAUGGCUGAUAUGGUUUCUAAUUGAGGUUACACAAAUGGAGAUAUUAGGAUGUUCUUAUGUUGGUAGCUGCUUAAUUGUUUUGGAGAGGACAGAUGAGACGCGAAUUGAUGAUGAUAUAUUCACUUGAUUGAGAUAUGGACCCAGUUUAACUUCACAGGCAAACGGGAACAUUUUGAUUUGGGAAUCUAGGUUGCAUGUUGGCAGAGUGAAGAAAGGAUUGCUCUGCCUGAAAAGUGGUUUCUGUAUUUCAUUCCUAUUUUGGUUUUCUGUAUUUGUACGUGCUGGAGAGAAUCAUUGUUGUAUGUUUCAGGUUCUCCCCGGAGUUGUAUGUUGUCCUUGUUGUAAUUCAUUUCUUUAUAUGCGUUGAUACGUUUUCUUCA